UUCGGCUUUGUGUCUUAGCAGGCGAUUCUUCCACGGCGCUCGAAGCGCGUCGUGGUAUUUCGCGUAUUGUAAUUUCAACACGAGCGGGGUCAAAUCCUUUGCAGACGACUUAGCUGUGCGAAACGGUCCUGUAAGCAGUAGAGUAGCCUUGUUGUUACGAUCUGCUGAGGGUAAGCCGUCCUUCGCCUCGAUUUCCCCAAUGGGUUCUCCGGAUUUCUGGAGACUUGUAGGGGUUGUGGGCUUUGCGAUGUGUCGUCUCCGGACGGGCGGUGCAGGGUAGCCGAGUUGAACUUGGUGGAAUUCGAUUCCGUCGAGUCCGGCAUGGCUCUGUGCGGCUGUGUGUUGAACGGUGCAGGGUAGGCUGCUCGGUCUUGGUCGAUUCGUGGAUCGAUUCGAGGGCCGGCCGUCGGGUGAGUGAGGUGGGAGCGGUCUAGGGUAGGCUGGUUUGUCUUGGUCGAAUUCGAUGUCGGCUCCCGUGUAGAGCGGUGCGAGGGUGGUCCAGGGUAGGU
Molecule: unclassified non-coding RNA, 509 nt
Filed under: Fusarium fujikuroi
Lineage: Eukaryota; Fungi; Ascomycota; Sordariomycetes; Hypocreales; Nectriaceae
Description: partial large subunit ribosomal RNA
Rfam family: Eukaryotic large subunit ribosomal RNA (bases 1-196)
Source: RNAcentral